This 253-nucleotide ribosomal RNA is filed under the name uncultured bacterium. Its description in RNAcentral is "partial 16S ribosomal RNA". It matches the Rfam family "Bacterial small subunit ribosomal RNA", at positions 524 to 776 of the family's 1533-position model. The record is from RNAcentral.
UACGAAGGGGGCUAGCGUUGUUCGGAAUUACUGGGCGUAAAGCGUGCGCAGGCGGCUCAUCAAGUCAGAGGUGAAAGCCCAGGGCUCAACCCUGGAAUUGCCUUUGAAACUGGUGGGCUUGAGUGCGGGAGAGGUGAGUGGAAUUCCCAGUGUAGAGGUGAAAUUCGUAGAUAUUUGGAGGAACACCAGUGGCGAAGGCGGCUCACUGGACAAGUAUUGACGCUGAGGUGCGAAAGCGUGGGGAGCAAACAGG